GACGAACGCUGGCGGCGUGCUUAACACAUGCAAGUCGAACGGAAAGGCCCUGCUUUUGUGGGGUGCUCGAGUGGCGAACGGGUGAGUAACACGUGAGUAACCUGCCCUUGACUUUGGGAUAACUUCAGGAAACUGGGGCUAAUACCGGAUAGGAGCUCCUGCUGCAUGGUGGGGGUUGGAAAGUUUCGGCGGUUGGGGAUGGACUCGCGGCUUAUCAGCUUGUUGGUGGGGUAGUGGCUUACCAAGGCUUUGACGGGUAGCCGGCCUGAGAGGGUGACCGGCCACAAUGGGACUGAGAUACGGCCCAGACUCCUACGGGAGGCAGCAGUGGGGAAUAUUGCACAAUGGGCGGAAGCCUGAUGAAGCAACGCCGCGUGCGGGAUGACGGCCUUCGGGUUGUAAACCGCUUUCGCCUGUGACGAAGCGUGAGUGACGGUAAUGGGUAAAGAAGCACCGGCUAACUACGUG
This 468-nucleotide ribosomal RNA is filed under the name uncultured bacterium. RNAcentral describes it as "partial 16S ribosomal RNA". It matches the Rfam family "Bacterial small subunit ribosomal RNA", at positions 28 to 507 of the family's 1533-position model. The record is from RNAcentral.